GAGAAGGUAGGAAUACUAAAGAAUUGCUAAUUCUUGACCCCGUGGUUUAACUCCCCGGCCCUCUCA
RNAcentral lists this transfer RNA (66 nucleotides) under Monognathus jesperseni. RNAcentral's name for it is "tRNA-Ser (AGY)". Lineage: Eukaryota; Metazoa; Chordata; Actinopteri; Anguilliformes; Monognathidae. The record is from RNAcentral.